RNAcentral lists this long non-coding RNA (483 nucleotides) under Anser brachyrhynchus (Pink-footed goose). RNAcentral's name for it is "lncRNA (ENSABRG00000011457.1)". Lineage: Eukaryota; Metazoa; Chordata; Aves; Anseriformes; Anatidae. The record is from RNAcentral.
UCCAGUGUGCCAGGUGGUGGUGGACUCAUGUGCAGUCUUGUUAGGAGUUUCCUCCAUCUCCUCUUUCCUGUGUUGCUGAGAAUGGAUGCUGGCUUCACCAGGAUGGAGGUGGGACAGUGCUGACUGCAGGAGGCUGGUGUGGGUACUGAUCUCUGGACCUGCACCAUGGUGGAGUUGGUGCCAAAGGUGUCUGAUGGUGCGGGAGCUGACAUCUCCUUGGGACAAACUCCCCUGGGGACUCAAGGGUUGGAGCUGGCCCCUUCAUGGGUGGCCUGGAGGAAGAGGCUGAGAUGGGGAGGAAGCAACAGUGUCCAUGGCACCUUCUCUGCAGCAGCUACUGCUGGGAGGCAGUUGGAAACCCCAGCUCAGAGAUGGUCACCCGCUGUGUCCCAGCCUGCAGAUGCGGGCUGUCACUGCUGCAGUCCCGCAUGAAUCAGAACUAUACUUGCUCCUAGAUCGCAGGUGGAGUUUGGCAGCACUUAG